AAUCCAUCGUUAGCAACUGAACUCAUUCCUUAUUUUCCGGAUACUUAAUCAGCCAACUUCUGCAACCACUUAUCAUCGUGAAGAAUUCAUCCAAGGACAACUAUAUCAGAUUGAUCCAGUUUCGAUUGUCUGGAAAACAAAUUCAAGGGGCGAACAUGCAACGUUUGCAAAUUCUCGUCAACUCAUUUCUACGCAUUUCACGUGGUAUAAAGAAGCUCUCUACAUGAGCUUGGUUUCACCUCUUUUCUAUCGUUACUUGCUCCAGCUAAAGAGUCAACGUACUUUAUUUGUUCAGUUGCUGCGCACACUUGGAUGAUGCGUGAGCUCUAAUUUGUGAUGUUAUUGCUCUCAGGAUCGCAAAGCAUGGUGCGGAAUUGAUUUCACAAUCCGAUAAUCUUCAAAUAAUUAUAACCGGUGACCCUAUCAACUCAUAAAACUGCGCUUUUUUGUCUGAAUAAUAAGGUUUGAUUUCGAGACUCACAUUGCAGCCCACCAUUAGUCUUCUCAACUGGCAUUGAAAAACCACAAGGUCAAGAGGUAACGUUGAGAAAAAAUCACCAAUUCGACAAAAGGAAAAAUCACCAAUCACCUUCGGUAGCACUUACGGAGUUAGUGGAGACAGAGGUUGUAUUAGGUAUGCAUCGCCAGGUUCCGUUGGAUUCAAAACUCAAGAUCCUCCUCGCAAGAACGAACAGCUCUCGACAGUCUUCCCUCGUUCACAAUGGCGUGAGAUGUUCAGAUGUCAACGAUAUUUCAUAGGCAGAAAAUGGAAUAAAACUCUCACGAUAGUGGAAGAAUGACUUGUGAACGGAGAUGACAUCGGUGAUAAUUAAAUGAUAAAUGCCAUGUCGAGUCCCUCCGCAAAAUAGACCUUUCUCCUCAUAGGAGCGGAGUGUGCGACUGCGUUUAAAAACAUGGAAACCAGGACUUCAUUUCCGCUCUGUUCCCUCCACGCAAAGCGCAUUGCGGCUUCGGUGUAUUUAGCUGAUCGACUGAGCGUUAUUUCAAAAAUAUUAGUGAAACAAUCUCCGGUCCUCAACUUCUAACCCUGAGGCUGUUCGGAGGUGAAACCUGCAUACUUAAAACACGCCGUUGAGUGCCUCCACCCCGAAUCCUGUUCUUCAAAAUGCAAACUCUUUUUGGAGGGAAUUAAUCCCAAAGUCAUCGCAAAUCACGGGCUCGCUUUGCAGUUGCAAAACAUAAGAGAUCAAAAUGGUAGUGCAGAUAGGAACGAAAUCCGUUUUAUGUAUCAAUGUCAAAAAUUGCAAAUUGUUCAAUUUAGAUGUUUCCCUUUUCAAUUUAAACCCAAUUAAGUAGUCUCAAGGCUAUUCUGCUCCGCCACCAGUAAUAUUCAUUGCUGAGAAUUGUCUGUGAUAUUAUUUAUUUUACUCUACAACCGUGGCUCAAAUAUCGUGUCUUAAGUCAUUUUUUUGUAUACCUAGAGUAUUUAGUCUCUGUCGAGAAUUAUUUCUGUUCUUGCAAUUUACUCUUGUUUUAGUCCUUGUUACUGGGAGCCACUUUUUUCCCCCGCAAAAAAUUACAUUAUUUUCUUUUAACUUUGUUAUUGCUGAUUCUUCCAUAAAAUAGGAGUUUCAAACAUACAGCCGCAUUAAAAAUUGAGCGCUAAUAUUUUAAUCCGUACCGCAUCGUUAAUACAUUUUCCUCCGGAAAAUUUGAAAAUU
RNAcentral lists this long non-coding RNA (1682 nucleotides) under Bemisia tabaci. Its description in RNAcentral is "lncRNA ENSSSA1UGG007406". The record is from RNAcentral. Lineage: Eukaryota; Metazoa; Arthropoda; Insecta; Hemiptera; Aleyrodidae.